This is a long non-coding RNA of Oncorhynchus nerka (sockeye salmon), 588 nucleotides long. RefSeq lists it as uncharacterized. The record is from RefSeq and is a predicted model, not a curated record. Lineage: Eukaryota; Metazoa; Chordata; Actinopteri; Salmoniformes; Salmonidae. The transcript is spliced from 4 exons.
ACCUUCCGGUUACUAGUCCAACACUAACCACUAGGCUACCCUGCCGCCCCAUAAAUUGGAAAGGAUGGGAAAUAACUCACACCAUGCAGCAGGACACCUUCAGCUGUGGGGUCUUUGUAAUGCAGAUGGCCAAGGAAGUUGCACAGAACUUCCCCAACAUCCCCUCCCAAAUUCAUAUGGAACCUUCAAAAACAUAUGGAGCAACUGCAAAAAGAAAUGGCUGAGGAUAUUCAAAAACUUUCUGAGUUCAACAAAGCCAACAACUGCUUCAUGUGUGCCACUGAUAAAGAACCUGGAUAUGGCCCAAAGACUGACUGGGUUAAUCUUUUGACAACAGUGACGGCAUGAUCCACGUGCUGUAACUAGGAAUGAAGACAAAAGAGUUCAACAGAGUAAAGAACACAAACUGGAAGUGUAGUCUUUGUUGUUGAAAAUGUAUUCUAUACCCCAUCCAUACUGAAGAGGCUCUGACAUGUACAUCAACCAGGGAUAAAGAGAAAGUUAACACAGUGAAAUGUUUCAUACUUAUUUGAAGUUAAGUGUCUGUUGACAUGUUGGAAAGAUUAAAGGUCUACAAUUUCUGUUUAA